GAUGAACGCUAGCGGCAGGCUUAAUACAUGCAAGUCGUGGGGCAGCAGGGGUAGCAAUACCCGCUGGCGACCGGCAAACGGGUGCGGAACACGUACGCAACCUUCCUUUAACUGGAGAAUAGCCCCUCGAAAGAGGGAUUAAUACUCCGUAACAUGUACAUGUGGCAUCACAAGUACAUUAUAGCUCCGGCGGUUAAAGAUGGGCGUGCGCCUGAUUAGAUAGUUGGCGGGGUAACGGCCCACCAAGUCUGCGAUCAGUAACUGGUGUGAGAGCACGACCAGUCACACGGGCACUGAGACACGGGCCCGACUCCUACGGGAGGCAGCAGUAAGGAAUAUUGGUCAAUGGACGCAAGUCUGAACCAGCCAUGCCGCGUGGAGGAUUAAGGGCCCUCU
This 396-nucleotide ribosomal RNA is filed under the name uncultured bacterium. Its description in RNAcentral is "bacterial SSU rRNA". It matches the Rfam family "Bacterial small subunit ribosomal RNA", at positions 28 to 420 of the family's 1533-position model. The record is from RNAcentral.